Molecule: ribosomal RNA, 253 nt
Filed under: uncultured bacterium
Lineage: Bacteria
Description: partial 16S ribosomal RNA
Rfam family: Bacterial small subunit ribosomal RNA
Source: RNAcentral
UACGUAGGUGGCAAGCGUUAUCCGGAAUUAUUGGGUGUAAAGGGUGCGUAGACGGGAUAACAAGUUGGUUGUGAAACCCCUCGGCUCAACUGAGGAACUGCAACCAAAACUAUUAUUCUUGAGUGCAGGAGAGGAAAGUGGAAUUCCUAGUGUAGCGGUGAAAUGCGUAGAUAUUAGGAAGAACACCGGUGGCGAAGGCGACUUUCUGGACUGUAACUGACGUUGAGGCACGAAAGCGUGGGGAUCAAACAGG